AUUGAACGCUGGCGGCAUGCCUUACACAUGCAAGUCGAACGGCAGCACGGGAGCAAUCCUGGUGGCGAGUGGCGAACGGGUGAGUAAUAUAUCGGAACGUGCCCAGUCGUGGGGGAUAACGCAGCGAAAGCUGUGCUAAUACCGCAUACGAUCUACGGAUGAAAGUGGGGGAUCGCAAGACCUCGCGCGAUUGGAGCGGCCGAUAUCAGAUUAGCUAGUUGGUGGGGUAAAAGCCCACCAAGGCGACGAUCUGUAGCUGGUCUGAGAGGACGACCAGCCACACUGGAACUGAGACACGGUCCAGACUCCUACGGGAGGCAGCAGUGGGGAAUUUUGGACAAUGGGCGCAAGCCUGAUCCAGCAAUGCCGCGUGCAGGAUGAAGGCCUUCGGGUUGUAAACUGCUUUUGUACGGAGCGAAACGGCUUCCCCUAAUACGGGGAGCUAAUGACGGUACCGUAAGAAUAAGCACCGGCUAACUACGUGCCAGCAGCCGCGGUAAUACGUAGGGUGCGAGCGUUAAUCGGAAUUACUGGGCGUAAAGCGUGCGCAGGCGGUUAUAUAAGACAGAUGUGAAAUCCCCGGGCUCAACCUGGGACCUGCAUUUGUGACUGUAUAGCUAGAGUACGGUAGAGGGGGAUGGAAUUCCGCGUGUAGCAG
RNAcentral lists this ribosomal RNA (658 nucleotides) under Pseudomonadota bacterium. RNAcentral's name for it is "bacterial SSU rRNA". It matches the Rfam family "Bacterial small subunit ribosomal RNA", at positions 28 to 681 of the family's 1533-position model. The record is from RNAcentral. Lineage: Bacteria; Pseudomonadati; Pseudomonadota.